Molecule: ribosomal RNA, 497 nt
Filed under: uncultured bacterium
Lineage: Bacteria
Description: partial 16S ribosomal RNA
Rfam family: Bacterial small subunit ribosomal RNA
Source: RNAcentral
GAUGAACGCUGGCGGCGUGCCUAAUACAUGCAAGUCGAGCGAACGGACGAGAAGCUUGCUUUUCUGAUGUUAGCGGCGGACGGGUGAGUAACACGUGGAUAACCUACCUAUAAGACUGGGAUAACUUCGGGAAACCGGAGCUAAUAUCGGAUAAUAUUUUGAACCGCAUGGUUCAAAAGUGAAAGACGGUCUUGCUGUCACUUAUAGAUGGAUCCGCGCUGCAUUAGCUAGUUGGUAAGGUAACGGCUUACCAAGGCAACGAUGCAUAGCCGACCUGAGAGGGGGAUAGGCCACACGGGAACUGAGACACGGUCAAGACUCCGACGGGAGGCAGCAGUAGGGAAUCUUCCGCAAUGGGCGAAAGCCUGACGGAGCAACGCCGCGUGAGUGAUGAAGGUCUUCGGAUCGUAAAACUCUGUUAUUAGGGAAGAACAUAUGUGUAAGUAACUGUGCACAUCUUGACGGUACCUAAUCAGAAAGCCACGGCUAACUACGUG